RNAcentral lists this long non-coding RNA (564 nucleotides) under Numida meleagris (helmeted guineafowl). Its description in RNAcentral is "lncRNA (ENSNMEG00000021774.1)". The record is from RNAcentral. Lineage: Eukaryota; Metazoa; Chordata; Aves; Galliformes; Numididae.
CUCCAGUUCCAAUGAAGAUCUCUUCAGUACUUCAGUGGUGGAAAAAAAAUUGUCAUUUUCUCCAGGGUGAACUGUUCUCUUGACUGUCUAUCUAGAUCUCCAUCACACACCAAGAAAGUAUAGACACUUACAGUCUUUUAGCUUGUUCAGCUAUAUUUGGAAGGACUUUUCAGGAACCAUUACUGAGAAAAAUGAUAAAAACUAAGACCAGGACUUGAGGCUCCUCAUUAGAAGAACUGGUGCACAGUACAGAAGAGAAUUGAAUAAAGCUAACAAAGAAAUAAGAUUAUUGCAUCUUAAUUGUUUUCAAGGGAUGUUAAGAGCUAAUUCUGCUGAGCAGUUAAUACUUUAGUCUCUCACCGGUAUAUCUCUCAGAGCCAAAGGCAGGAUGAGGAAGUGCCUCAGUGUUUAAUUCCAUUAUGGCCUCCUUGUUCCAUUUGACAGCAGGAUAAAUGCAGUUUUGCUUGUACAAACUGUAUCUGUACUUUGGCAAUACUGUGCAUUGAUACACUGAAGCUACAGUAGAUAUUACCAUAUGUAUCAUAUAAAAAAAGGAAGUUAAGG